UCAAAACAGCGGCCUUCGGGCCUCGCUACACCCUUGUCUUUUGCGCACCGUAUUGUUUCCUCGGCGGGCUUGCCUGCCGGUUGGACAUCAUAAAACCUUUUUGUAGUUGCAAUCAGCGUCAGAAAAACAAUAAUUAUUA
Molecule: unclassified non-coding RNA, 139 nt
Filed under: soil metagenome
Description: partial internal transcribed spacer 1
Source: RNAcentral